RNAcentral lists this small RNA (431 nucleotides) under Histoplasma capsulatum. Its description in RNAcentral is "hypothetical RNA". RNAcentral also lists the same sequence under 1 other name. Lineage: Eukaryota; Fungi; Ascomycota; Eurotiomycetes; Onygenales; Ajellomycetaceae. The record is from RNAcentral.
UCUUGAGGGCAACAAGUCGACUUUGCCUUCUAUCAUCUGCCAGCUAGGUUGCGGCAGACCGGCCGAAUCCAAGUUUAUGAGCGAUAACAUAUCGACCGGCACAAAAUUCAUCACCAAUCAUGACAGGAUGGUAACCUCCGGGAACAUAAUAGUCCAAGCGCUCAACUUCUUCCACAAACUUGUACCUGACUCUGCUGGGUUCCAUGUGUGUUGCCAUACUUCUGCAGGGGUGUGAAAUGGAGAAUUGUGUCUGUCAUCAGGGCGGCCCAGUUACUAAUGGUCUGAUUCUGCGAAAUUGCAAGAACGCGUUGCUUGUUCGAUUGGCCAGCGAAGUGGUGCUGGGUUCAGGUCAUUUGUAACUAAGGCAGCUGGGACAAAAGACAGAACAGAGCAAAGCUUGUUAGCUAGCGUAUAAGGCUACCUCAAGGGGG